This 497-nucleotide ribosomal RNA is filed under the name uncultured bacterium. RNAcentral's name for it is "partial 16S ribosomal RNA". It matches the Rfam family "Bacterial small subunit ribosomal RNA", at positions 28 to 507 of the family's 1533-position model. The record is from RNAcentral.
GUUGAACGCUGGCGGCGUGCCUAAUACAUGCAAGUCGAGCGAACGGACGAGAAGCUUGCUUUUCUGAUGUUAGCGGCGGACGGGUGAGUAACACGUGGAUAACCUACCUAUAAGACUGGGAUAACUUCGGGAAACCGGAGCUAAUACCGGAUAAUAUUUUGAACCGCAUGGUUCAAAAGUGAAAGACGGUCUUGCUGUCACUUAUAGAUGGAUCCGCGCUGCAUUAGCUAGUUGGUAAGGUAACGGCUUACCAAGGCAACGAUGCAUAGCCGACCUGAGAGGGUGAUCGGCCACACUGGAACUGAGACACGGUCCAGACUCCUACGGGAGGCAGCAGUAGGGAAUCUUCCGCAAUGGGCGAAAGCCUGACGGAGCAACGCCGCGUGAGUGAUGAAGGUCUUCGGAUCGUAAAACUCUGUUAUUAGGGAAGAACAUAUGUGUAAGUAACUGUGCACAUCUUGACGGUACCUAAUCAGGAAGCCACGGCUAACUACGUG